Long non-coding RNA from Ornithodoros turicata, 1151 nucleotides. RefSeq lists it as uncharacterized. Lineage: Eukaryota; Metazoa; Arthropoda; Arachnida; Ixodida; Argasidae. The transcript is spliced from 5 exons. The record is from RefSeq and is a predicted model, not a curated record.
UUUGAAACCACUGAACAAGCAAUGCGCUACAUAUUAGGCACACCUGUAGCUCAGUAGCAAAGGCACUGAUAAAAUGUUUGCAAAAAGAACAGCGAUUUUCAACACAUACAUCACAAAAUACGACACUCGUCGCUGCAACAACGAUGGCGAUUGCAUAAUGAUGAUGAUGUUGGUGUAACUUCCGCUGGAUUGGCAUAUGUGUUAUUAAACAUUUAACCUCCACCACCCAAUUAUAAUGAACGGCCACAGAAAUUAAAGUAUUACAAAAAAUAAGUACUCAAUAAGCACGAGCUAAAGCAAUGGCAAUGACGCCUGCCCGUCUACCCAAUCACCAUCCAUCAUCCAUCCAUCCAACCAGUUCGAACCAGUUCAGUUUCAACGGUUGAAACUUCAAACUUUCCGGACGCGCAACGGGUAGCAGUUGGGGUCUUCGCGGCUGCAUUCCACUGGUUGUUAUACGAAAAUCUUUCGAAGUUCUAAUCUCCCGCGCGUUUUGUCUUGCAAUUUUUGAGCAUAGCGAGAACGUACGCCGUGCUGUCCAGUGAUAAGAGCUGUUGAGCGCAGCAGAGCUCCCAGAGUACUGUGGUGGACAACGUUUCUUUGUUCUCUGGCUUUCAAGUUUAAGGGGUGCUUGGACUAUCUUGCAUCGGUGGAUAUGAAAAUAGUGGUAACCUACCCUACGAAACAGCUGUUUGCACAUAAGCUUAACAGUUCCCUGUGAGAUGCUGUGAAAGUCAGCAGGGAAGUGCGAUGUAGAAGAAACGACUGCCAGAAGCUUGCUAAGGAACCGCACAACCUGUGUGGGCAGCAGACAAAAUAUUCAUCAAACGAAGCUUUGCACCAAAGUUAUGAGAGCAGCACAGAUGUUGUUUUAGCGUAAUGGAGUGAUGGAAGUGCUGCACCAAUCAUGGAGUGCUUAGCAGUCGCCUGCUCGACCAGCCACAGUGAGUCAUUGGAGGCAGUGCUACAGCACCAACAAUCACUCGUUGGAAGAAAGGAAUGAGGUGGCCAUCAACACCCUGCUGCCAGUUCAACACUCCUCAGUCAAAACACAAGACGCCUGCUUGGCGGCAAAGUCAAUCCAGUUUUAGACAAGAGUUUUGUACCGUAGACUUCGUGUGUGGCUUACUGCGAAUAAAUGUUUAUGCUGA